CGCUCAGAUCCCUUUGCCCUUGGCUGUGAAAUGCCCACACAUCCCCAGAUCCGAGCGAGGGUCCAGGCCCCCGACCGGCCGCUUGUUUUGCUCUUCAUUAGAGCGCAGAGGCCCCCCUCCCUCAAGACACGACAACAAGCCUCAUGAUGUUCUCACAGCAUUGCUUAACAGCGCCUCCUGCAGGAUGCACACGGAAUGUGCAGGAUUGGAGGUGACGUCAGCUUUAACGGCCUUGUGUGGUGCAAAGGCUCCUUGUUUCUUUUCUGCAUGUUCUCUACAUCUGUCGCCCUGUCUUCAUUGUUGUUGGUGUAUUUUUCUUGCAUCUGCUCUGUAUUAAUAAUAUUAAUAAAAAUGUUUAAAUGAA
This is a long non-coding RNA of Pygocentrus nattereri (red-bellied piranha), 364 nucleotides long. RefSeq lists it as uncharacterized. NCBI's taxonomy places the organism in Eukaryota, Metazoa, Chordata, Actinopteri, Characiformes, Serrasalmidae. The transcript is spliced from 2 exons. The record is from RefSeq and is a predicted model, not a curated record.